ACAGCACUCGGUGACACUGAGCGACAUCAACCGAGGAUUCUCAUAAUCCGUGGGUCGUGGGUUCAAGUCCCACCCGCCCUACCA
RNAcentral lists this transfer RNA (84 nucleotides) under Nonomuraea rubra. RNAcentral describes it as "tRNA-Glu". The record is from RNAcentral. Lineage: Bacteria; Bacillati; Actinomycetota; Actinomycetes; Streptosporangiales; Streptosporangiaceae.